Molecule: ribosomal RNA, 426 nt
Filed under: uncultured bacterium
Lineage: Bacteria
Description: bacterial SSU rRNA
Rfam family: Bacterial small subunit ribosomal RNA
Source: RNAcentral
AACUGGAAAGCGGCGGACGGGUGAGUAACGCGUGGGUAACCUACCCCAUACACAGGGAUAGCCAUUGGAAACGAUGAUUAAUACCUGAUAACACAUAAUGGUCGCAUGACUAUGAUGUCAAAGAUUUAUCGGUAUGGGAUGGACCCGCGUCUGAUUAGCUAGUUGGUGAGGUAAAAGCUUACCAAGGCGACGAUCAGUAGCCGACCUGAGAGGGUGAUCGGCCACACUGGAACUGAGACACGGUCCAGACUCCUACGGGAGGCAGCAGUGGGGAAUAUUGCACAAUGGGCGCAAGCCUGAUGCAGCAACGCCGCGUGAGCGAAGAAGGUCUUCGGAUCGUAAAGCUCUUUUCUUAGGGAAGAAAAAUGACGGUACCUAAGGAAUAAGCACCGGCUAAAUACGUGCCAGCAGCCGCGGUAAUACGUA